This 433-nucleotide ribosomal RNA is filed under the name uncultured bacterium. Its description in RNAcentral is "partial 16S ribosomal RNA". It matches the Rfam family "Bacterial small subunit ribosomal RNA", at positions 29 to 507 of the family's 1533-position model. The record is from RNAcentral.
AACGAACGCUGGCGGCAUGCCUAACACAUGCAAGUCGAACGAGACCUUCGGGUCUAGUGGCGCACGGGUGCGUAACGCGUGGGAACCUGCCCUUAGGUUCGGAAUAACUCCCCGAAAGGGGUGCUAAUACCGGAUAAUGUCUUCGGACCAAAGAUUUAUCGCCUUUGGAUGGGCCCGCGUUGGAUUCGCUAGUUGGUAGGGUAAAAGCCUACCAAGGCGACGAUCCAUAGCUGGUCUGAGAGGAUGAUCAGCCACACUGGGACUGAGACACGGCCCAGACUCCUACGGGAGGGAGCAGUGGGGAAUAUUGGACAAUGGGCGAAAGCGUGAUCCAGCAAUGCCGCGUGAGUGAUGAAUGCCUUAGGGUUGUAAAGCUCUUUUACCCGGGAUGAGAAUGACAGUACCGGGAGAAUAAGCUCCGGCUAACUCCGUG